GUCAUAUAUUAGAUCUGCCGGUUCGCCGGCUAUGGCGAUAAAUGGCCGUCGUAAUAAACCAUUCGGACCCGGGGGCGGUACCCGGCGCCUCCACCACAAGCCGCAAUCUCGGGAUGCGCAUGCAGUUCCUUGAGGCGGUUUCUGUGGGGGCGAAAUAGGAUCGACGAGGGUGUAAAGGGCUUGUUUUCGCUCGGCAUGGUUCCGCCGUUAUCGGGCCAUCCAAAUAGUUGCAAACGACAACUAUGCUCCGGCUACGAUGGCUGCGUAAUGCAGCUUGAGUGCCGAAAUAUUAAGUCCUAGGCCUUAGCCGGUCUGGGCGCGGUUCGGAGGGCACCGGGCAACAGAAGCCCUCCACUACA
This 359-nucleotide transfer-messenger RNA is filed under the name bacterium MnTg02. Its description in RNAcentral is "transfer-messenger RNA, SsrA". It matches the Rfam family "Alphaproteobacteria transfer-messenger RNA". Rfam says of the family: Bacterial tmRNA, also known as 10Sa RNA or SsrA, is named for its dual tRNA and mRNA-like properties. Its role is to liberate the mRNA from a stalled ribosome. The record is from RNAcentral.